This 393-nucleotide ribosomal RNA is filed under the name uncultured bacterium. RNAcentral's name for it is "partial 16S ribosomal RNA". It matches the Rfam family "Bacterial small subunit ribosomal RNA", at positions 523 to 918 of the family's 1533-position model. The record is from RNAcentral.
AUACGGAGGAUGCGAGCGUUAUCCGGAUUUAUUGGGUUUAAAGGGUGCGUAGGCUGUGCGUUAAGUCAGGGGUGAAAUGCCGUCGCUCAACGACGGAGCUGCCCUUGAUACUGGCGUGCUGGAGUACGGAUGCCGUUGGUGGAAUGGGUGGGGUAGCGGUGAAAUGCUUAGAUAUCACUCAGAACACCGAUUGCGAAGGCAUCUGACGAAUCCGUCACUGACGCUGGGGCACGAAAGCGUGGGGAUAGAACAGGAUUAGAUACCCUGGUAUUCCACGCCGUAAACGAUGAUGACUAACCGUCGGCGAUAGACAGCCGGUGGCCAAGCGAAAGCGAUAAGUCAUCCACCUGGGGAGUACGUCGGCAACGAUGAAACUCAAAUGAAUUGACGGGG